CAGCUGUUCCUACCUCACCACCGACGACACCAGAAAAGGACCUGACCGUUGCCACCUCCCCAUGGACUGUUCCUGAAGUGGAAAAAUCCACCUCCUCCUUUAACAGUAGUCAUCCUCCUGCCAGGUUUCCAACCACUUUACAAAGGAGUAUACCAAACCUCGUCCUCCUCAUCCUGAUCCCAUCCGUCCUGCUGGUUCUCCUUUUGAUUUUGUUCAUUGCUGUAAAGUUUAGAAGAGCAUCACGGAGGAGGAGCAAAG
Molecule: non-coding RNA, 258 nt
Organism: Chrysemys picta bellii (western painted turtle)
Lineage: Eukaryota; Metazoa; Chordata; Testudines; Emydidae
Source: RefSeq, a predicted model, not a curated record